Molecule: small nucleolar RNA, 95 nt
Filed under: Macleaya cordata
Lineage: Eukaryota; Viridiplantae; Streptophyta; Magnoliopsida; Ranunculales; Papaveraceae
Description: Small nucleolar RNA R64/Z200 family
Rfam family: Small nucleolar RNA R64/Z200 family
About the family: This family of plant small nucleolar RNAs belong to the C/D class of snoRNA which contain the C (UGAUGA) and D (CUGA) box motifs. This family includes Arabidopsis thaliana snoRNA R64 and Oryza sativa snoRNAs Z200 and J16. Most of the members of the box C/D family function in directing site-specific 2'-O-methylation of substrate RNAs.
Source: Rfam by way of RNAcentral
UUUCUGUGGUGAUGAAUUAUGAAAUUCUUCACAUGUCAGACUUCAGAGAUUCUUCCACGAAUCUAUGAGAAGAUAAUUCAUUUUCUGAGCAGAAA